This 253-nucleotide ribosomal RNA is filed under the name uncultured bacterium. RNAcentral describes it as "partial 16S ribosomal RNA". It matches the Rfam family "Bacterial small subunit ribosomal RNA", at positions 524 to 776 of the family's 1533-position model. The record is from RNAcentral.
UACAGAGGUCCCAAGCGUUGUUCGGAUUCACUGGGCGUAAAGGGUGCGUAGGCGGUCGGGUAAGUCUGACGUGAAAUCCCGCAGCUCAACUGCGGAACUGCGUCGGAUACUAUUCGGCUUGAGGAAUGGAGGGGAGACUGGAAUUCUCGGUGUAGCGGUGAAAUGCGCAGAUAUCGGGAGGAACACCGAUGGCGAAGGCAGCUCGCUGGGACGGUACUGACGCUGAGACGCGAAAGCGUGGGGAGCGAACAGG